This 434-nucleotide ribosomal RNA is filed under the name uncultured Lachnospiraceae bacterium. RNAcentral describes it as "partial 16S ribosomal RNA". It matches the Rfam family "Bacterial small subunit ribosomal RNA", at positions 341 to 792 of the family's 1533-position model. The record is from RNAcentral. Lineage: Bacteria; Bacillati; Bacillota; Clostridia; Lachnospirales; Lachnospiraceae.
ACGGGAGGCAGCAGUGGGGAAUAUUGGACAAUGGAGGCAACUCUGAUCCAGCGACGCCGCGUGAGUGAAGAAGUAUUUCGGUAUGUAAAGCUCUAUCAGCAGGGAAGAUGAUGACGGUACCUGACUAAGAAGCCCCGGCUAACUACGUGCCAGCAGCCGCGGUAAUACGUAGGGGGCAAGCGUUAUCCGGAUUUACUGGGUGUAAAGGGAGCGUAGGCGGCCAGACAAGUCAGGUGUGAAAACCCGGGGCUUAACCCCGGGACUGCACUUGAAACUGCCUGGCUGGAGUGCAGGAGAGGCAAGUGGAAUUCCUAGUGUAGCGGUGAAAUGCGUAGAUAUUAGGAGGAACACCAGUGGCGAAGGCGGCUUACUGGACUGUAACUGACGUUGAGGCUCGAAAGCGUGGGGAGCAAACAGGAUUAGAUACCCUGGUA